GAUGAACGCUAGCGGGAGGCUUAACACAUGCAAGUCGAGGGGCAGCAUAGGGUAGCAAUACUCUGAUGGCGACCGGCAAACGGGUGAGUAACGCGUAUGCAACCUACCCUGUACAGGGGGAUAACCCGGAGAAAUUCGGACUAAUAUCCCGUAAUAAUAUCCGGAGGCAUCUUUGGAUAUUUAAAGUUCCGACGGUACGGGAUGGGCAUGCGUAACAUUAGCUGGUUGGUAAGGUAACGGCUUACCAAGGCUAUGAUGUUUAGGGGUCCUGAGAGGGUGGUCCCCCACACUGGUACUGAGACACGGACCAGACUCCUACGGGAGGCAGCAGUGAGGAAUAUUGGUCAAUGGGCGCAAGCCUGAACCAGCCAUCCCGCGUGCAGGAAGACGGCCCUAUGGGUUGUAAACUGCUUUUCCAGGGAGAGAAACUUACGCACGUGUUGCGUGACUGACGGUACCCUGGGAAUAAGCAUCGGCUAACUCCGUGCCAACAGCCGCGGUAAACUGUAGUCGU
This 514-nucleotide ribosomal RNA is filed under the name uncultured bacterium. RNAcentral's name for it is "bacterial SSU rRNA". It matches the Rfam family "Bacterial small subunit ribosomal RNA", at positions 28 to 533 of the family's 1533-position model. The record is from RNAcentral.